Molecule: ribosomal RNA, 429 nt
Filed under: uncultured bacterium
Lineage: Bacteria
Description: bacterial SSU rRNA
Rfam family: Bacterial small subunit ribosomal RNA
Source: RNAcentral
GUACGCUGGCGGCACGCCUAACACAUGCAAGUCGAACGAAGUAGUAAUACUUAGUGGCAGACGGGUGAGUAACAUGUAGGUAUCUGCCCUUUGGCCUGGAAUAACACGAGGAAACUUGUGCUAAUACCGGAUAAGUCUUUACGGAGAAAGCUUUAUGCACCAUUGGAUGAGCCUGCACUUGAUUAGUUUGUUGGUGGGGUAAUGGCCUACCAAGACUGUGAUCAAUAGCUGAUUUGAGAGGAUGAUCAGCCACAUUGGGACUGAGACACGGCCCAAACUCCUACGGGAGGCAGCAGUGGGGAAUCUUGCACAAUGGAGGAAACUCUGAUGCAGCGAUGCCGCGUGAGUGAAGAAGGCCUUUGGGUUGUAAAGCUCUUUCGUCGGGGAAGAAAAUGACUGUACCCGAAUAAGAAGGUCCGGCUAACUUCG